AGUAAGAUGGCCGAGCUUAGGCAGAAGAUUGUAGCUCUUUUAACGACAUAUUUGUCUCUUAUUA
This 64-nucleotide transfer RNA is filed under the name Laetmonice producta. RNAcentral describes it as "tRNA-Tyr". Lineage: Eukaryota; Metazoa; Annelida; Polychaeta; Phyllodocida; Aphroditidae. The record is from RNAcentral.